UACGGAGGUGGCAAGCGUUGUUCGGAAUUACUGGGCGUAAAGGGCGCGUAGGCGGUAUGUCAAGUCAGAUGUGAAAGCCCUGGGCUUAACCUGGGAACUGCAUCUGAAACUGGCAUACUUGAGUUCUGGAUGGGGUAGUGGAAUUCCCAGUGUAGCGGUGAAAUGCGUAGAUAUUGGGAGGAACACCUGCGGCGAAGGCGGCUACCUGGACAGAUACUGACGCUGAGGCGCGAAAGCCAGGGGAGCGAACGGG
This 253-nucleotide ribosomal RNA is filed under the name uncultured bacterium. RNAcentral's name for it is "partial 16S ribosomal RNA". It matches the Rfam family "Bacterial small subunit ribosomal RNA", at positions 524 to 776 of the family's 1533-position model. RNAcentral also lists the same sequence under 1 other name. The record is from RNAcentral.